AGCGUACACGGUGGAUGCCCUGGCAGUCAGAGGCGAUGAAGGACGUGCUAAUCUGCGAUAAGCGUCGGUAAGGUGAUAUGAACCGUUAUAACCGGCGAUUUCCGAAUGGGGAAACCCAGUGUGUUUCGACACACUAUCAUUAACUGAAUCCAUAGGUUAAUGAGGCGAACCGGGGGAACUGAAACAUCUAAGUACCCCGAGGAAAAGAAAUCAACCGAGAUUCCCCCAGUAGCGGCGAGCGAACGGGGAGCAGCCCAGAGCCUGAAUCAGUGUGUGUGUUAGUGGAAGCGUCUGGAAAGGCGCGCGAUACAGGGUGACAGCCCCGUACACAAAAAUGCACAUGCUGUGAGCUCGAUGAGUAGGGCGGGACACGUGGUAUCCUGUCUGAAUAUGGGGGGACCAUCCUCCAAGGCUAAAUACUCCUGACUGACCGAUAGUGAACCAGUACCGUGAGGGAAAGGCGAAAAGAACCCCGGCGAGGGGAGUGAAAAAGAACCUGAAACCGUGUACGUACAAGCAGUGGGAGCACGCUUAGGCGUGUGACUGCGUACCUUUUGUAUAAUGGGUCAGCGACUUAUAUUCUGUAGCAAGGUUAACCGAAUAGGGGAGCCGAAGGGAAACCGAGUCUUAACUGGGCGUUAAGUUGCAGGGUAUAGACCCGAAACCCGGUGAUCUAGCCAUGGGCAGGUUGAAGGUUGGGUAACACUAACUGGAGGACCGAACCGACUAAUGUUGAAAAAUUAGCGGAUGACUUGUGGCUGGGGGUGAAAGGCCAAUCAAACCGGGAGAUAGCUGGUUCUCCCCGAAAGCUAUUUAGGUAGCGCCUCGUGAAUUCAUCUCCGGGGGUAGAGCACUGUUUCGGCAAGGGGGUCAUCCCGACUUACCAACCCGAUGCAAACUGCGAAUACCGGAGAAUGUUAUCACGGGAGACACACGGCGGGUGCUAACGUCCGUCGUGAAGAGGGAAACAACCCAGACCGCCAGCUAAGGUCCCAAAGUCAUGGUUAAGUGGGAAACGAUGUGGGAAGGCCCAGACAGCCAGGAUGUUGGCUUAGAAGCAGCCAUCAUUUAAAGAAAGCGUAAUAGCUCACUGGUCGAGUCGGCCUGCGCGGAAGAUGUAACGGGGCUAAACCAUGCACCGAAGCUGCGGCAGCGACACUAUGUGUUGUUGGGUAGGGGAGCGUUCUGUAAGCCUGUGAAGGUGUGCUGUGAGGCAUGCUGGAGGUAUCAGAAGUGCGAAUGCUGACAUAAGUAACGAUAAAGCGGGUGAAAAGCCCGCUCGCCGGAAGACCAAGGGUUCCUGUCCAACGUUAAUCGGGGCAGGGUGAGUCGACCCCUAAGGCGAGGCCGAAAGGCGUAGUCGAUGGGAAACAGGUUAAUAUUCCUGUACUUGGUGUUACUGCGAAGGGGGGACGGAGAAGGCUAUGUUGGCCGGGCGACGGUUGUCCCGGUUUAAGCGUGUAGGCUGGUUUUCCAGGCAAAUCCGGAAAAUCAAGGCUGAGGCGUGAUGACGAGGCACUACGGUGCUGAAGCAACAAAUGCCCUGCUUCCAGGAAAAGCCUCUAAGCAUCAGGUAACAUCAAAUCGUACCCCAAACCGACACAGGUGGUCAGGUAGAGAAUACCAAGGCGCUUGAGAGAACUCGGGUGAAGGAACUAGGCAAAAUGGUGCCGUAACUUCGGGAGAAGGCACGCUGAUAUGUAGGUGAAGCGACUUGCUCGUGGAGCUGAAAUCAGUCGAAGAUACCAGCUGGCUGCAACUGUUUAUUAAAAACACAGCACUGUGCAAACACGAAAGUGGACGUAUACGGUGUGACGCCUGCCCGGUGCCGGAAGGUUAAUUGAUGGGGUCAGCGCAAGCGAAGCUCUUGAUCGAAGCCCCGGUAAACGGCGGCCGUAACUAUAACGGUCCUAAGGUAGCGAAAUUCCUUGUCGGGUAAGUUCCGACCUGCACGAAUGGCGUAAUGAUGGCCAGGCUGUCUCCACCCGAGACUCAGUGAAAUUGAACUCGCUGUGAAGAUGCAGUGUACCCGCGGCAAGACGGAAAGACCCCGUGAACCUUUACUAUAGCUUGACACUGAACAUUGAGCCUUGAUGUGUAGGAUAGGUGGGAGGCUUUGAAGUGUGGACGCCAGUCUGCAUGGAGCCGACCUUGAAAUACCACCCUUUAAUGUUUGAUGUUCUAACGUUGACCCGUAAUCCGGGUUGCGGACAGUGUCUGGUGGGUAGUUUGACUGGGGCGGUCUCCUCCUAAAGAGUAACGGAGGAGCACGAAGGUUGGCUAAUCCUGGUCGGACAUCAGGAGGUUAGUGCAAUGGCAUAAGCCAGCUUGACUGCGAGCGUGACGGCGCGAGCAGGUGCGAAAGCAGGUCAUAGUGAUCCGGUGGUUCUGAAUGGAAGGGCCAUCGCUCAACGGAUAAAAGGUACUCCGGGGAUAACAGGCUGAUACCGCCCAAGAGUUCAUAUCGACGGCGGUGUUUGGCACCUCGAUGUCGGCUCAUCACAUCCUGGGGCUGAAGUAGGUCCCAAGGGUAUGGCUGUUCGCCAUUUAAAGUGGUACGCGAGCUGGGUUUAGAACGUCGUGAGACAGUUCGGUCCCUAUCUGCCGUGGGCGCUGGAGAACUGAGGGGGGCUGCUCCUAGUACGAGAGGACCGGAGUGGACGCAUCACUGGUGUUCGGGUUGUCAUGCCAAUGGCACUGCCCGGUAGCUAAAUGCGGAAGAGAUAAGUGCUGAAAGCAUCUAAGCACGAAACUUGCCCCGAGAUGAGUUCU
RNAcentral lists this ribosomal RNA (2772 nucleotides) under Escherichia coli. RNAcentral describes it as "bacterial LSU rRNA". It matches the Rfam family "Bacterial large subunit ribosomal RNA". The record is from RNAcentral. Lineage: Bacteria; Pseudomonadati; Pseudomonadota; Gammaproteobacteria; Enterobacterales; Enterobacteriaceae.